GACGAACGCUGGCGGCGUGCUUAACACAUGCAAGUCGAACGGAAAGGCCCUGCUUUUGUGGGGUGCUCGAGUGGCGAACGGGUGAGUAACACGUGAGUAACCUGCCCUUGACUUUGGGAUAACUUCAGGAAACUGGGGCUAAUACCGGAUAGGAGCUCCUGCUGCAUGGUGGGGGUUGGAAAGUUUCGGCGGUUGGGGAUGGACUCGCGGCUUAUCAGCUUGUUGGUGGGGUAGUGGCUUACCAAGGCUUUGACGGGUAGCCGGCCUGAGAGGGUGACCGGCCACAUUGGGUCUGAGAUACGGCCCAUACUCCUACGGGAGGCAGCAGUGGGGAAUAUUGCCCAAUGGGCGGAAGCCUAAUGCAGCAACGCCGCGUGCGGGAUGACGGCCGUCGGGUUGUAAACCGCUUUCGCCUGUGACGAAGCGUGAGUGACGGUAAUGGGUAAAGAAGCACCGGCUAACUACGUG
Molecule: ribosomal RNA, 468 nt
Filed under: uncultured bacterium
Lineage: Bacteria
Description: partial 16S ribosomal RNA
Rfam family: Bacterial small subunit ribosomal RNA
Source: RNAcentral